CAUGCUGCUCACUUUGUUUUCUGGCUUCAUUGUGCCACGUCUGCAAAUUCCAAAGUGGUGGAUUUGGAUGUAUUAUCUAUGCCCCACGUCGUGGGCACUGAAUGGGUUGCUUACUUCACAAUAUGGAGAUAUAAACAGAGAGAUAUCAGUAACAGCCUUUACAGAUGCAAAAACCAGAACAAUUGCUGAAUUUUUAAGAGACUACUAUGGUUUUCACCAUGAUUUGUUAGGUGUAACUGGUGCACUUCUCAUUGUAUUCCCUGUUAUAUUUGCCCUUCUAUUUGCAUACUGCAUUGGACACCUCAACUUCUUAAGGAGGUAAAAUCGUUUUGUAAAGAGUGCCCCUAUAGAACCUUCAUGUCACAAUAUGUAAAUCAUUUGAUCAAUAAAAUCUUAUUCUUGUGUUUCUGA
Non-coding RNA from Arachis ipaensis, 411 nucleotides. The record is from RefSeq and is a predicted model, not a curated record. Lineage: Eukaryota; Viridiplantae; Streptophyta; Magnoliopsida; Fabales; Fabaceae.